CGCUCAGCGACAGACCUGGGUCCUUUCACGCUUUGUCCUCCCUCUUUCUUUCGUUCUUGCUCGCGCUCUCUCUCUCUCUCCCUUUUUUAUCUUCCUUCCUUUUCCUACUCCUUGUUUCUUUCUCUCUCUGGCUUUUGUGCAGGGGGCCGUGACGAAUGGCUCAGAAAAGAGGGUGCUGUGAGAAACUGGAGCUGCGCUGGCGGAGUGGGUGCUCUUUCAUCAUCUGCCUGCCUCCCUCCAGCUUCCCCGUGGUUCCUCCAAGGCUCCUUUGUGGCCAUAAUCAAAGCCUGGUGAGUGAUGGCUGUUUGGGGGGAGGGAAGUAAAGGACAGCGGAGGGUGGCUCUCCCGCUGGGGGGCGAGGGAGUGUGGCCUCACCAUGGCCUGGAGAACUGAUGGGGACAGGGAUGAUAGGAUGCAAGGUGUGGGGUGCCCCCAGUAUGCAGCUCCUGUGGGCAUGGCUGUGGGUGGUGAUGCUGGGGCUGGACACAGCAUCCCUGGUUGGGCAACAUUGCCACACUGCUGAUGGGCCCAUGUGGCUCUGCUUCACAGUGUGAACAAACCUCCCAGCAGUGCUUCCAGGGAGUCAUUGGCACCGCCAGCCUGGCCUGACCCUCAUAAAGUCACUGAGUUUUUGUCAUGGGUUUCAAUAGGCGUUAGGCUGUAGGGCUCUGCCUUUGCCUGACUGUAAACUUUUAGGGGCUUUAUUCCUACCUACCACCUGGCAGAGACGAGGCAUGGUGCACAGGAGGAUGGCUUGGCACACCCUUCAAGUGCCUCCUGGACUGACCAGAUAAAUACAGGGUCUGUACCAAGACAACUCCUUGCUCAGGAGUGGCGGAGCUGGGAGGUAUGGGAACCUGCACCAGCACUGUGCUGCAGUGCUGCUCCUGUGGCCCACGGCUGCCAGCCCAAGUGCCAUGGCCAAGGGUAGGCUGGAAGCAGGGCCCUGUGCUUCCCAGGAAGGAGUCUGCACGCCCGUGGGUUAUCGCUGCAUCAGGGCUCGGUGACGGCGCUUCCCAAGAACACAUGUUCCCUCGUAAACCCGGGAUCUGCUUAUCUCAAAGGGCACAUCCGACAAUUAGCUUAUCUGCUGUGAAAGUGAGGAACAGCUUUAGUUAUCUGCCCGGCUUCCGCAAGCCAAAAAAAAAAAAAGGAGAAAGAGCCCCUGGAAGGACAAGGCACAUACACAGCGUCCUAUAAAUAAAGUGAGUGCAGUGAGUGUGCUGCAGACAGGCUCCAUGUGCUUGCAGUGGGAGCUGGAGAUGCCCCUGAGUUUUAAGGAUGCUUGUUGCUUCCUGGUGUCAAACGCUGCCUUCGGCUGCUGGCAGCUUUGCCAAACCGUUCCAGGCUGGGUGGUAAUAUUUCAGGGUGGGUUGUGGCUUCUGAUUAAAUUUUUGGGGAAAAAUCUUAUCCAUAGUGCCAGGCUGUUUCCAAGAGUGAGGGUAUUAGGAGAUGAGGCAUUUGUCCUUAUUUUGUUUUAAAAUUCUGCAAGAGCUUGAAAUUUGGCAAGUAGGGAAGGGAGAGAGGCUGAGAUUUGUCUCGUGUCCCUGGAAUAUACUCAAAUUUGACCAAGUCAGAACACUUUAUUUGGGAAAAAAUGCACUUAGCACACGCUGACCAUGGAAUUGGGCCCUGCUUGGAGGUGCAGGUUCCCCCCUGCAUUUCCCACCCUGGUGGCACUAGGGGACAUCUUGGGAUGUUGCUGCUUCUUCCCUGAUGCUGCUCUUUGCUUGACUCCACAGCAGCAUGGCAGUGCUGGCUUCAUGGCUGGCAGAUCAGUCUUCAUGGCUGCAUGAUGUGGCAGUGGCUGUGCUUGCUGAGCCCAUGGGAUCUGAUGGAAACCGUGGUUUCCCAAGUGCUUGCCCGGAGGCAGCAUGCAGACAGGUGUGACUGGGACUGGAGGAGCUGAGGACGGAGGAUCCCAGUGGAGGACUGGCUGCUAUGAUGGUGCUGGGGCAAGGGACAGAUCUGUCGCUGAGAGCACAGGAGAAAGCAUGGUGGAGUGGCUGGAUGUAGGGGAUAUCCUGCCUGCACACCUCCAUGCCAGCACAGAUUGACCCUACACAAGGACAGGCAUUGUCCCCAGGCCCUCGUGGGAUGCUGGUGGCACCAGAAUGGGACAUGCUACCCUUGCAGAGAUGUAGGGGGGACCAUGGGGAUGCUGGAGGACAGAGUCUGGGGCCUGGGGAUUUGGGCAGCAGCUGAAGUCCAGAUAAAGCCAGGCUGGCUCUGAGGCAGUGAGGGUUUCCUGGGGGUCCCUGAGGACUUCCUCCCCCACAGCCAGGUGGACAUUGGCAGCAGGACUGAGGGCUGUCCUGGCAUUGGCAGUGGUGAUGGAUAAGUCCCACCACCUGAAACACCUGACACAGUGUCUGGCUUGGGUAUGCAAGGGCUCAUCCCAUGGAUCACACCCCGCACCAUGGCUCAGAUCACAGUCAUGCUUGGCAGGGGCACAGCUGGAUGUGGUGGAGUUUGGGAUGGCUCCCUCCUUAAUCCCCUUCCACCCACAUGCAGUGCAGUGCAUCCACUGCUCUGCCAUGCUCCUGCCCAGCCCAGCCCUGCCUGCACACAGAGACAGCACCAUCCUGCAUCCCUUGUGGACAGGAGAUGGAUGGAUACACCCUGAGCACGCACAUGCUUCCUCCCCUGCACCUUUUCCCUCACUCUUGGCUCAGCCUCCUCUCCUCUCUCUGCCUGGCAGCCGGGCUCCGUGUGGCCCCAUGCCAGCUGAAACCUAAUGUCCUCCUUUCCUUCCUCAGGGAUGCAGGGGACCUGCUGGCAAAGCUGGGACCCAGGUGAUGGCAGAGGGAGAGGAGCCUCUUGAAGUCACACAGGGACCACACACCCCAGUAGGACAGGCUCUUGCCUCUGUGGCCAGGUGCAUGGCCCAGCCAUGGGGACACAGCUGAACCCCAUGCUGGCCCCUGCUCCCCCAGCCCCUGCUGCAGGAGUGGAGCUGCACGAUGUGUAGCUGAGCCUUGGCAGCAACCCCACAGUGGCCAGGAGGGGACAGAUGGUGUUCGGACGCACAGAGGACACAAAAGCUGUCCUGGUGCUGUGGUCACCUGAGCUGGGGGCAGCUGCAGGCUGGCAAAUGGCCUGGUUGCCUCUUGCUGAGCCAGCCCUGGGCAAACCAUGGGAUGUAUGUGACACCCGAAGGGCUGGUAUGUUCCUUGCUGGUCCACUGUGGCUCCCAGCUUUCCAGCACAUCCCAUCUUGCCACGGGAUGUUGACUCGUUGCCACUCUGAGCCUUGUUCCUGCUGGCAGCAUUGCCAGUUGCCUGUCCCCAUCCGAGCUCCCAAAAGACAACAUACUGCUUCUCUUUGUGCCAGCGAUGAGAGAAGCUCCUGCCACCAACCCCUAUCCUGUGUGUGCAAACACACGCAAAUAUGUUCCCAUGGCCAGUGUGCCAGCUCCAUCCUGCAAACACCUGCUGGUCCCCUGCAAAUGCAACACAUGUGCUGCAGCCUCAGGGCACUGGGACUGGGCUGGCAGGCGGCUGGAGACAGCAGAUCUUCAGGCUGUGUGCCCGAUCCAUUCCCUCCCUGUGUCAGGUGACAAAACCUAAAGGAAGAUUUCAGGGCGAGCACAUGGGGACCUCAUUUGUUUCCCCAAGGAGAGAUUGAAGCAGAGCACAGAAUCCAGCUCUGUGUUGUGCAGAGCUGCUCGUAUCUGCCGGCUCCCAUUUGUGAGUGCUCACAACUUGGCACACCUGUACACCAGAGCCAGGGACACAGAGCGGGGGGAAA
Molecule: long non-coding RNA, 3750 nt
Organism: Lagopus muta (rock ptarmigan)
Lineage: Eukaryota; Metazoa; Chordata; Aves; Galliformes; Phasianidae
Exons: 3
Source: RefSeq, a predicted model, not a curated record